RNAcentral lists this ribosomal RNA (1062 nucleotides) under uncultured bacterium. Its description in RNAcentral is "bacterial SSU rRNA". It matches the Rfam family "Bacterial small subunit ribosomal RNA", at positions 349 to 1399 of the family's 1533-position model. The record is from RNAcentral.
CAGCAGUAGGGAAUUUUCGGCAAUGGGGGGAACCCUGACCGAGCAAUGCCGCGUGAUUGAAGAAGAUCUUCGGAUCGUAAAGAUCUGUUAUUAGGGAAGAAUGGAAUUGAUAGGAAAUGAUCAAUUUAUGACGGUGCCUAAUGAGGAAGCCCCGGCUAACUAUGUGCCAGCAGCCGCGGUAAUACAUAGGGGGCGAGCGUUAUCCGGAAUUAUUGGGCGUAAAGGGUACGUAGGCGGGCCUGCAAGUCUGAUUUGAAAGCACACGGCUUAACCGUGUGAGGUAAUUAGAAACUACAGGUCUAGAGAGUGGUAGAGGUAAAUGGAAUUCCAAGUGGAGCGGUGAAAUGCGUAGAGAUUUGGAGGAACACCAGUGGCGAAGGCGGUUUACUGGGCCACAUCUGACGCUGAUGUACGAAAGCGUGGGGAGCAAACAGGAUUAGAUACCCUGGUAGUCCACGCCGUAAACGAUGAGUGCUAAGUAUCGGUAGAUUCGGUGCUUAAGCUAACGCAGUAAGCACUCCGCCUGGGGAGUACGGUCGCAAGACUGAAACUCAAAGGAAUUGACGGGGACUCGCACAAGCGGUGGAGCAUGCGGUUUAAUUCGAUGCAACGCGAAGAACCUUACCAGGUCUUGACAGUGUAAAGAAUACUUAAGAGAUUAAGGGCUAAGAAUUAAGCUUGCUUAUUUCACUUUAUAAACAGGUGGUGCAUAGUUGUCGUCAGCUCGUGUCGUGAGAUGUUGGGUUAAGUCCCGCAACGAGCGCAACCCUUAUUGCUAGUUGCCAUCAUUAAGUUGGGCACUCUAGCAAGACUGCCGGUGACAAAUCGGAUGAAGGUGGGGAUGACGUCAAAUCAUCAUGCCCCUUAUGACCUGGGCUACACGCGUGCUACAAUGGCUAAUACAAAGAGUUGCAAAACCGUGAGGUAGAGCUAAUCUCAUAAAGUUAGUCUCAGUUCGGAUUGUAGUCUGCAACUCGACUACAUGAAGUUGGAAUCGCUAGUAAUCGUAAAUCAGAAUGUUACGGUGAAUACGUUCUCGAGUCUUGUACACAGCGCCCGUCA